UGGGGAAUAUUGCACAAUGGGCGCAAGCCUGAUGCAGCCAUGCCGCGUGUAUGAAGAAGGCCUUCGGGUUGUAAAGUACUUUCAGCGGGGAGGAAGGGAGUAAAGUUAAUACCUUUACUCAUUGACGUUACCCGCAGAAGAAGCACCGGCUAACUCCGUGCCAGCAGCCGCGGUAAUACGGAGGGUGCAAGCAUUAAUCGGAAUUACUGGGCGUAAAGCGCACGCAGGCGGUUGAUUGAGUCAGAUGUGAAAUCCCCGGGCUUAACCCGGGAAUUGCAUCUGAUACUGGUCAGCUAGAGUCUUGUAGAGGGGGGUAGAAUUCCAUGUGUAGCGGUGAAAUGCGUAGAGAUCUGGAGGAAUACCGGUGGCGAAGGCGGCCCCCUGGACGAAGACUGACGCUCAGGUGCGAAAGCGUGGGGAGCAAACAGG
Molecule: ribosomal RNA, 429 nt
Filed under: Chloroflexota bacterium
Lineage: Bacteria; Bacillati; Chloroflexota
Description: Chloroflexi bacterium partial 16S ribosomal RNA
Rfam family: Bacterial small subunit ribosomal RNA
Source: RNAcentral